RNAcentral lists this ribosomal RNA (253 nucleotides) under uncultured bacterium. RNAcentral describes it as "partial 16S ribosomal RNA". It matches the Rfam family "Bacterial small subunit ribosomal RNA", at positions 524 to 776 of the family's 1533-position model. The record is from RNAcentral.
UACGAAGGGGGCUAGCGUUGCUCGGAAUCACUGGGCGUAAAGGGCGCGUAGGCGGAUCUUUAAGUCGGGGGUGAAAGCCUGAGGCUCAACCUCAGAAUUGCCUUCGAUACUGGAGAUCUUGAGACCGGAAGAGGUAAGUGGAACUGCGAGUGUAGAGGUGAAAUUCGUAGAUAUUCGGAAGAACACCAGUGGCGAAGGCGGCUCACUGGUCCGGUACUGACGCUGAGGUGCGAAAGCGUGGGGAGCAAACAGG